GGCGUGAUCGUAUAGUGGUUAGUAAAUUGCGUUGAGGCAGCAAUAACCCAGGUUCGAAAUCUGGUCACUGCA
RNAcentral lists this transfer RNA (72 nucleotides) under Nematostella vectensis (starlet sea anemone). It matches the Rfam family "tRNA". Rfam says of the family: Transfer RNA (tRNA) molecules are approximately 80 nucleotides in length. Their secondary structure includes four short double-helical elements and three loops (D, anti-codon, and T loops). Further hydrogen bonds mediate the characteristic L-shaped molecular structure. tRNAs have two regions of fundamental functional importance: the anti-codon, which is responsible for specific mRNA codon recognition, and the 3' end, to which the tRNAs corresponding amino acid is attached (by aminoacyl-tRNA synthetases). tRNAs cope with the degeneracy of the genetic code in two manners: having more than one tRNA (with a specific anti-codon) for a particular amino acid; and 'wobble' base-pairing, i.e. permitting non-standard base-pairing at the 3rd anti-codon position. The record is from Rfam by way of RNAcentral. Lineage: Eukaryota; Metazoa; Cnidaria; Anthozoa; Actiniaria; Edwardsiidae.